Molecule: ribosomal RNA, 497 nt
Filed under: uncultured bacterium
Lineage: Bacteria
Description: partial 16S ribosomal RNA
Rfam family: Bacterial small subunit ribosomal RNA
Source: RNAcentral
GAUGAACGCUGGCGGCGUGCCUAAUACAUGCAAGUCGAGCGAACAGACGAGGAGCUUGCUCCUCUGACGUUAGCGGCGGACGGGUGAGUAACACGUGGAUAACCUACCUAUAAGACUGGGAUAACUUCGGGAAACCGGAGCUAAUACCGGAUAAUAUAUUGAACCGCAUGGUUCAAUAGUGAAAGACGGUUUUGCUGUCACUUAUAGAUGGAUCCGCGCCGCAUUAGCUAGUUGGUAAGGUAACGGCUUACCAAGGCAACGAUGCGUAGCCGACCUGAGAGGGUGAUCGGCCACACUGGAACUGAGACACGGUCCAGACUCCUACGGGAGGCAGCAGUAGGGAAUCUUCCGCAAUGGGCGAAAGCCUGACGUAGCAACGCCGCGUGAGUGAUGAAGGUCUUCGGAUCGUAAAACUCUGUUAUUAGGGAAGAACAAAAGUGUAAGUAACUAUGCACGUCUUGACGGUACCUAAUCAGAAAGCCACGGCUAACUACGUG